CAGUUUCCUGCGUAACCUCACAAGGAAAGAGCCUCGCGACGAGCCGGAUAGCUCGUUUUCUAUUAGCGUUGUUCCGCGAUGGAGUUUCUAAUCUCCGUAAAUUGAACUUAGUAGCGUUGUGGAAAACUCUUAUGGAGAAAACACUGUGUGUUUUCUACUUUGGUUGGAGAGAUCACAUCGAAUAUCAUUGGGAUUUCAGUGGUUCUGUACGCAAGUAUCGUAUUACAUAAACAAUUGUAAAAUGGACAAAUCGGCGUUUGGAAGUAAAUAAUUGUUAAAAAAUACAAACAAAUUGAAUUCUUUAAGCUUUUUGUGUUUAAGGAAUUUAAAUGAUAAGUACAAGAUCCGGUUUUAAAGUUACGAAUAUGUAUGUUGCUCUUAUCUCGAGCACAUAACAGUAUCUCUUACAUCACAGAUAAAAGGCAUCACAAUCGAAUUUCUUGUGAAACACACGUUCUUCCUUAGUAACACUGUAGUCACGUUUCAACAGUCGGAAGCGCCGAUGAUUUACACUUAACGUAACUGAUGGUUUGUAAGCGGAACAUCGGUAAACGAAGGAAAUGGAAGGAACAGCCAGAUCUACAUCCAGAUUUAUCUGGAUUAUUAUUAGACUAAUGUUUAUCACGCUCAGGUUCUCCAUUUAGAUCCCCUAUAAAACGCAUCUGUUGCAUAUUGACGAAAUAUUGGUCACUUCCUUGUUGCUUCACACAAAGUGCUGUUUUAAGAAUUUGAACAGUUUUUUAUACAAAACUAUGUAUCACAUGAACUAAAUAUAGAUAAACGCUCGAAUAUGUAAGAUAUCUUUACUAUCUUUGUUUUCUAUUAAGAAGCUUUUAAUAUUGAGGACAUUUUUCAAUAAAAGAUGAUUUAAUCUAAUAGAAAAUAUUAGUGUUCUGUAAUUCCGUUAAUCGGAAAUGUAUCAUCGUGUGAUACUUCACGUAUUCCAAAUCACGAGGGUUUACUUUCUUUUAUUUGGAUAUCCAGUGUCUACUUAGAGGGGUUCCGACUAGAACUAAAUAUUUGAAGAGGCACGUUCCAAGGGUGAGGCGUCUAUUUCUACGCGUAUAAUCCAAGAAACCGUAUAUUGGUUCCUCCUUAAUAGACGUGUGAGGAUUCCGUUCGAUUUUAAAACUGCUACACCUACAGCUUACUAUUUUGAGAGUUAUUAUCAAGAAUGAAGCUAAAACUUCGA
RNAcentral lists this unclassified non-coding RNA (1192 nucleotides) under Bombus terrestris (buff-tailed bumblebee). RNAcentral describes it as "misc RNA ENSBTSG00005031776.1". Lineage: Eukaryota; Metazoa; Arthropoda; Insecta; Hymenoptera; Apidae. The record is from RNAcentral.